Molecule: long non-coding RNA, 235 nt
Filed under: Gossypium barbadense (sea-island cotton)
Lineage: Eukaryota; Viridiplantae; Streptophyta; Magnoliopsida; Malvales; Malvaceae
Description: long non-coding RNA (GBAR_LNC000373)
Source: RNAcentral
CAUGACUUGAUUUUGAAUGUUCGGUUGAGUUUAAGUUCGGUAAUGCCUCGUACCUUGUUCCAGCGUCGGAUACGGGUAAGAGGUGUUACAGUUCCAUUAACUUCUUUAGGUUAUUCAAUUACUCUGAGAAGUGUGGUAAUGAGAAGGUGCACGUUUAGGAUUGGACCUGGCAAGGAAAGGCAAGGUUUUUAAGUGGUCAAAUACGACUCACCUCCCUUUCUUAGAACUCUACCUG